This 497-nucleotide ribosomal RNA is filed under the name uncultured bacterium. RNAcentral describes it as "partial 16S ribosomal RNA". It matches the Rfam family "Bacterial small subunit ribosomal RNA", at positions 28 to 507 of the family's 1533-position model. The record is from RNAcentral.
GAUGAACGCUGGCGGCGUGCCUAAUACAUGCAAGUCGAGCGAACAGACGAGGAGCUUGCUCCUCUGACGUUAGCGGCGGACGGGUGAGUAACACGUGGAUAACCUACCUAUAAGACUGGGAUAACUUCGGGAAACCGGAGCUAAUACCGGAUAAUAUAUUGAACCGCAUGGUUCAAUAGUGAAAGACGGUUUUGCUGUCACUUAUAGAUGGAUCCGCGCCGCAUUAGCUAGUUGGUAAGGUAACGGCUUACCAAGGCGACGAUGCGUAGCCGACCUGAGAGGGUGAUCGGCCACACUGGAACUGGGACACGGUCCAGACUCCUACGGGAGGCAGCAGUAGGGAAUCUUCCGCAAUGGGCGAAAGCCUGACGGAGCAACGCCGCGUGAGGGAUGAAGGUCUUCGGAUCGUAAAACUCUGUUAUUAGGGAAGAACAAAUGUGUAAGUAACUAUGCACGUCUUGACGGUACCUAAUCAGAAAGCCACGGCUAACUACGUG